GAAGCUCAAAUGUCUACUGCAGAUCCUCCUGCAUGGUGUUCUCCAUUAGGCUCCCUUGGCUGAAGUAAAAUUUCUGUAGCCCAUCUAGUGUUCUGUCUGUGGCAGUUAUUAUUUUUUUAAGUCAUUCAGGACUUCUUGCUUUGUGAUUUUGGUCCAUAAAUCUGGAAUACUACCUUUCCCUGUAAAUUUUUUGCCAUAAUUGUGUUCUAGCUUUGAUCUGAAAUGACAGACAAACCAUUUCCAAUAUGGCUGGGUAGAUGAGUCUGGGGUGAUGCUCCAUGUGGCAUAAUCACCUCCUGCGUCUCGAUAUUUCUUGUAUUUGUAUCUCCAGCGGUCAUUUAAAAUGAAGCAAAUAUUACUUGCUACAUUACUAGUACAAACAUUAAUGUCGAACUGGUCUGUUUUAUGCCAAUGCCAACCACUGACAGCCUGAGGACGGUGGAAUGGCACACUGUGGUCUCCUUCAUGCUGGGGAAUGGUGUUUGUACAAAUUGCCUUACAAAAAGGACACUGUUUCCAACAGCCACAGAGAUGUUCAGAGAGAAUUUCCUCAAUGUCAGGAACAAUUUCAUCUAUGUGCUUACUUGAACAAUCCUCUUCUAUUUCCCUCAUUGCAGGAUCCAAAGCUUUGCUCAUGGCUUCUUUGAGGAACUCAGUAUCCAUUAGCUCCUGGUGCUCUAUGUUUACCAGGUCUCUCCUUGGGAAGACCAGGUUGCUCCCUAGGUGGUCACAGAACAAAUCCAGCCAGCCAGAUGCAGUGCUGCCUUUAGCUUUAGCUACCUUUGUGGACUUAUGAAUGGCAGACAGGAUGGUAUUCUUGAUGUCACCUAAACUUAUGUUUAAAAAAGUUUUUAUUUUUUCACUCUCUUUUUCUGAACAGUAUCUUUUAAUGUGGUCUCUAAUAUAAUCCCUGAAAAAUUCCUCUGGCCUUUGAAUGUAUUUCCAGUAUUUAUCAAAAUUUUCUUCUUCUGCUAG
RNAcentral lists this long non-coding RNA (975 nucleotides) under Mus musculus (house mouse). RNAcentral's name for it is "long non-coding RNA chr7:106076641-106077616". Lineage: Eukaryota; Metazoa; Chordata; Mammalia; Rodentia; Muridae. The record is from RNAcentral.